UUUUGGCCAUAUAAAGUGAUUACAUUGAAAGUUAAAUUCUGAUUAAACAGGUCGGAAUGGCCGCCGGAAUCUCUUUUUCGUGAUCCGUACAGUCAAUUUCCGCAUAUUUGGCAGCAAGCAGCGGGGGAUUGGAGGAAGUGACAGAGGGAGGAUUUCAAUCCCAGCAAGGCCACGAAUUGGAGCUGCUACGAGCAGAAGCUUGAGCUGAAGCCCGCAAGAAAAUCACCGACCAGGCAGAGGAGACAGAAACCCUGCACAUUUCCCUGCACGAAUCCGGAUCCCCUUUGAUCCAAACAUUGCUGCCUGGGAAAUCCAAGACUCACCGAAUCCAGAAGAUCGAUUGAGCUCCAGCAACAGCCGCAGUACCAGCUCCAAGGCCGCGAUAUCGAGGCGUGAGGCGGGCCUUCCUGUACCGGAAUAGGUUCGGCGAGCCAGAAUAUUCACUACCGGCAGCUUAAUAUAAUCAUAAUUCAUUAGCUUAAUA
Molecule: long non-coding RNA, 484 nt
Filed under: Selaginella moellendorffii
Lineage: Eukaryota; Viridiplantae; Streptophyta; Lycopodiopsida; Selaginellales; Selaginellaceae
Description: long non-coding RNA (SMOE_LNC001078)
Source: RNAcentral